Molecule: long non-coding RNA, 9438 nt
Filed under: Heterocephalus glaber (naked mole-rat)
Lineage: Eukaryota; Metazoa; Chordata; Mammalia; Rodentia; Bathyergidae
Description: lncRNA (ENSHGLG00100032847.1)
Source: RNAcentral
CAAAGGCGUAGGGGUAGUGGGAGGGGCAGGGGAAAGGAAAGAAAGGAAAGGAAAAAUGAUGAGAAAUGGAAAAAAUGGAAAUAAAGUCUUUGUAAAUAGGGAAGGGUGGAGGGGGUGAAGGGAGGGCUAGGAAUGGGGAAAAAAUAAGAACCAAGAUGCAUUAUGUAAAGGUACAAUUCCCAAUGAGAAAUGUAAUUAUGUUGUAUACCUACAAUGUACCAAUAAAAGAAAUUAAAACAAAAAAACCCAAAAUAAUCACCUACCAUAGGCUAGUUUUGUGCAAAGGAAAAAAAAGCAAACAAAUCAAGGGCUAAAAUAUAGUAAUCACCUCUAUUACUGUAGCUAUAAUGAUUGCUGUUACUGGCCUGAGUCUUAUGUGCUACAGAAUAUGAUCUUUGGAGAGUUGUAGGCAUAUGUCUCUAGUACUUUCUGGCCCCCUGGAACUUAGCCAGCAUUCGAUGAGAGCCACAUGGAAAGACCUUUGGAGGAGAUAGGAGGUACCUCACUAGACCACCAUAGCUGAGGUCCCAGUCAACAGAACCAAGUGACAGCCAGUGAAGGAGCCAUAUUGGAUCACCCAGAAUAUUCAAGACCCAGUGUUACUGCAGCUGCAGCCAAUAUCACAUGAAGCAGGAGAAUCAUCCCUCUAAGCCCAGGAUUCCUACAAGAUCAUGAAAAUAACCAAAUAAGCCACUAACUUGUGGGGUGGUUUAUUAUGCAGCAAAAUGCAUGGAAAGAGCUGAAUCCUUCCUGGAAUGGGCUUCAGAAUUGUCUUAUCAGUGACUCAUGAGGUCAGCCCAGCUCCCUUCAUAACCAAACUAAUUCAUUUGAGCAAUGACAGACCUUAGGCACAGGGGGUACUGAGAAGUGGGAGAAGCCACAAGAAAAGAGAACUCUGUCUGAACCAUCAAGUUAUCUGAAAUUUUGGUAAGGAAAAUGUGAAUGUGUGUGCUAAAAAUAGCAUUUGACAACAAAUGGCACAAGGGAAAGCACAACAGGGUUUGACUUGUGUGAGUGAGACAAUGUGGACAUGCAUUAUUGGGAAUUCAGUGCUGACUUUGAGUCAAAGAGAGCAAUGUGGACCCCUGCAGUAGGAACAAUUAUUUCACUGAAUUUCCAGCUGGAGUAUAUGAUUUUGGGGAGGGAAUGUCAAUGGAACAUUUUUUUUUUUUGCAUAGAAAUGUUUUUACUCUAUGACUCAGUACCUUCUUUCCAGAGCUAAAAUCAUCUAGAAAUGAGCUUGAAUGACCCAGGAGCUAUGGAAUGCUAGCAAGGAUGAUGAGAAAUUCAUAUUAUAACAUGAUGACAUGACCUUCACAUCUAGGGAGUAUAAGACAAGUGGAAAAGAGGAUGAUUUGGAAAUGGAAAAGACAACAAAGCUUGAAAUUUGAAUGAAGACCGUUAAUGCUGGAAUCAGGAGGACAAACCAAAUAAAAAUUUAUACAGAAGAAAUUCUUAACAUCCUUUUUCUCUUCUCUAAUUUCAACCACUGAAGUAACAAAUACAAUUCAACAUUCAUUUUUAACAUUUAUAUUGAGUCUUUUUAGAGUAAAUGUUUUAAAAAUUAUUCUAUUAGUAGUUACAGGCACUUUUAUUUUUAUUUAUUUGGGGGGGGUACUGGGGAUCAAACUCUCGGGACCUUGGGCUUGUGAGGCAGGCGGCAGAACCACUGCGCUAAAUCCCCAGCACUUCUGUUAGUAGUGAAAAAAGCUCACCAUGACUUUUCAGAACUUUUUAUGAAAAAGGACUUGAAAGAGCAUAUCUCUAAGGAAAAAGAACCAAUUGACCCUUUCAGCAUAUGACAAAAGUGAUAUGAUUUCUCAGCAAAUACCCUCAUCAAAACAUCUAGCAAAUGGGCUAAAAAUGUUGUAUAGUAUCCUCUGGGCAUUUUGGGAAAUUUAUAUGUCUUCAUUGAUUACUCUGACAGUUGAUAAGGCAAAAAACCAAUGUUAUAAUUUAUGCAUUAUACUUAUGUGACAUUUCUUCCUGAUAAUAAUGUGACACUAAAGCAGAGAGGAGAAAUUGCCCUGGGUGGCAGUUAAUAUGGUGUGUUGUCUAUCUUUGUUUCAAAACAUUUUUCCAAAAUCAGUAGCUCAGUGAAAUAAGAUUUUGACCAGUGAUCAAAGCACAGAUAGGCAAGAAAUUUCCUGUUGAAAAGCAGUUACACAUAGUAUUUUAUAGUAGAAAUAUUAUGCAGAAGAGAAGAUGUACAAUCAUUUUCAAGAUUAGGAGUGAAUAUGGAGAAUUUCUACAUAUUGACUACACCAAGUUUUCUUCAUCACAGAGCCCUGCAAACCACACCUCUGCUCUCAAGCUCGAGGGCUUCCUCUCUGUGGCUGUUAAGUAUAUUACUAGAAAGAUAAUGUCUCAGGUUAGCUCAUCAUGGGCCUGAAAAUUCCCCCACCCUCAUCUUCCUUUUCUUCUCCCUUUCUCCUCAUUCUUCCAUGCUUUGUGUUUGGAGAAGGGUGACUUGAUUAGUGAGACUUAAACUAAGAGACUCCAGGAUCAGACCAUGUGGAAAGUAAUAACUGGCUGUGGGGUCAGCUUGCGGCCUCUGUUGGUUAGCUUUCCAUUACUGUAACAAGUAUCUGAGAUAAACAACUUGCAAAGAGGAAAGGUUUAUUUUGGCUCACAGUUUCAGAGGUUUCCGCCCAUGGUCAAUCGGCUCUGUGGCUUUGGGCCUGUGGUGAGAUAACAAAUCAUGCAGGGAAGCAUAUAGUGCAACAAAACAAGGAAGGGCUAGAUUCCCAGUAUCCCAUUCAGGAACAUAUCCUCAAUGGCCUAACUUCCUCCCAGGAGGCCCUGUGUCUUAAAGAUUCCACUGUCUCACAAUAGUGCCACAGGCUUGCAACUAAGCAUUGAUCACCUGGGCCAAACACAUCCCAGCAAUCGCAAGAAGAAAAACGAAGAUCCUGUAGUUUUCAGGAAUUUUCAACUAGGUCCUUAUUAUUCAUUUCUUAGGUUGUUGGUGUAAAUAGAAUUGAUCAAGAGCUACAAUCCGAUAUUACUAAGAGUUGUUUAGACACAGGUUCCAUUUCUAUAUAAGCAACAGGGCCUUUCAAAACCAACCAUUUUAAGAAGUAAAAUUUUAGGAACCUGGAAACAUUUACCUUUCAAAAGUGCUUUACAGCUUUCCAGGCCUCGUCAUACAUGAAGGCACUGUGCAAUUAUCCAGACAAUUUUCCGUCCACUUCCGUUCUCUUACCUCCUUCCCAAUGCUAGGGCUCAGGGCAAGUGACCCACGCCGCAGAAGCAGAAGGGCUUGCCGGAGGUGGGGAACGGGGAGAGGACAGCCUCCCUAGGGGCGCUCUGCCCUUCCUCAGCCAGGGCCAGGGUCCCUGCUACCCGGGAGGGCGCCUCCCCUCGCUCACACCUGAGUUCACCUGGAAGGCGGGGCGGGGAGCAGGGCACAGGACGGGGUCAGUGCGGCCCUGGAUCCGCUCAGCAGCGGCUCCGGCGCCCGGGCCUGGCCCCCUGUUGCUCACACUGCUGGCGACCAAUGGCGCCGCCGCUUAUCACCCCGGCCCCGCCCCCGGGGAGUGGGAGGGCGGGCGGUCGGCAGGCACCGGAGAGCGAGGAUUGAACUUUGCAGCCGACUGGCGGCGGCGGCGGCGAGGUGCCCGGCAGCGCGGCCCCGGUUCCGAGCGGGGAGCCAUGGAGUACGGGGCGCAGCGCGGCCCUCACCCUGUGCCUGUGGCUCUGGUUGGCGGCCUCGGGGGGCUGCCUGGCUUCAGGCCCCGGCUUGGUGGCGGCGGCGACCCCACGGCGGCUGGACGAGUCUCUGUCCGCCCGGAGCUUCCAGCGCACGCGCUGCGCCUCCAGGUGCCUCCGCCUGCAGACCACUCGCUUCUCCGCCUUCUUCCAGCACUUCCAGGUGUCUGCGUGGGGCUUGUCACUUUCCCGGGACCGCAGCGCGCGCAACUCGGCGCCAGGGAGGAGGAGUUCCGCCAACUCCGGGCCGCCCGGGACGCUCCCCACCGGCGGCACGGACACUCCCGGGGUCUCCAAGGCGCGCGCGGUGCCCCAGUGUCGCAGGUGCCGGGGUGCCGGACGCCUCGGACGGCUUUGAGCUGUAGCUUUCCUAACCGGCGGGUCUGGGGCUCGCUAGCCACCUCCGGAAGACCCACCCAGGGCCCCGGGGCCGACUUGUGCGCUCUCUCGGGGUGCGCGGUGCGCGUCCCGCUCGCAGCUCCAAGGGUUCCCUUACUAACCACCGGCUCAGAGGACCGGCAGUGGCAGGGGAAGGGUGGGGCUCAGGACGCAGGGGCCAGGCUUGGAUGCUCCGGGGAAGAAUCCCCGGGGCCAAGGGCUCCCCCAGCCCGAGUAGGUUGUUCCAGCUUGAGGGUGCGGAAGGUGGGGGGGAGAGGGGCGAAGGAGGCUCCUGGAAGUGCACUCCUGGCGCCCUUGGACCUGCACCAAAGCGGGUGGGCGCCCGAGCAGCUCCCGGACUCCGAGGGCGCAAGGCCCUGGAGUCAUCCACUUGCGGGCCUCCUCCUCUGCUGCUCGCCUCUCCCCUGAGCUACCCACCUGUUCCAACAGCCCAGCUUCUCGCCCCAGGGAAAAUUCUGGAGGCUCCCAGGUGAGGCUGGAACUGGAAGCAGAGCCCUCUGCCUUUACACUGGGUACCCCUCCGGCCGGCCGAGGCCCAGUGGAGUAGAGGGGGCUCAGCAAAGGAGGGGCUCCCGGAAUCAGGGAUCCGAGCAGCUGGAACCGGCGCUGAUCAGUUCUGGAGGGUGCAGUUUCGGGUGUCUGUCCGCAGCCCUCCGGGUGGCCUUCCCCGCCAGUGUGCCAGAGAGCGACCUACGGACGGCUCACAGUUGGGAUCUGAAGAGCUGAGGCCCACCGGUGAACUUUGCGAGCCUUUGUUCGGAAUCAAACAGUGUCUGUCAGGAGAAAGUAGAAAAGGACACUCAGCCUCUUUCAGGGCCUGCGGGGAAGCGAAACCCGACGCUUACCUCUGUAGCGAGGUAGCAGGACAUCGACAUCCAGGCAGGCGCCUGUCCCCACACACCUGACUCAAAUCCACCGCCUUACCCCAAAGUCCCUCUCCCCAGAAGAUGCCACGCGGGUGUUUGAACAACACCGCAACACAACGCAGAAACCACCAGCCCAUCUCCAGAGAGGACAAGGAUGUCCCUCCCUCCACCUUUUUAUUGUCAGUUGCAGUGAUUUACUUGUUUUACAGUUGCAGCGGCUACAGAAGCAGUUUAGAUCGAGCCAAUUCCCGUGAAAGGCUUUUCUCAUGGUCUCUUGGCUUGAUUUCUCUUCCCAAGAAAAACUACUGACAGAAUACACGUUGCCAGACAAUCCCGAUUACAUUUUAAUUAGCUCGGGUGAAACAGGCUGCAAAUUACUUAGGACCUAAUAACUGCUGGGCUUUUUUCUUGGUUUUGUUUUCUGUAAUUACUCGCAAAGCCAUUCUUGGAGACUUAACCCUAACCUGGUAGUGCCUAUCUGAUUUAUCUAAAUUCCAGGGAUUUGGCUUUCUUAAAACUUGAAAAGACAGCAACACGUCCUCCUUAUACAGCAAAGCCCCAGGCUUCCCUGGGGCCCUGGCCAGCCCUACCUUGUUGGAUAAUUGGAAGCCUGGUGGAGGGAUCCGCCUCAGGAUGUAUGAAUGGGCGCAAGACUGGGCUGCAGGAAGUCUCAGGAGGAACUAUUGGAUCAGUCCACUCCCUCCACACAGGGUCCUCCUGCAGGGGACCCAGCAGGUGCUUGCAUCCAUCUUUACUUGUACAGUUCUAGGCCUCUUUUUAAGAUCUUUUUAAGGAUGCGAGCAAGUUUGCCUCCAUCCAACCUGGAUGCCAGCCAGAUGUGUGAACUCCCAGGCAUGGAAGCAGCCAGGGAGGACCCAAUCUAUACCCUCCAGGUACACUCAGGGACUCGGGGUCCUAGGCAACACUGACCAGCUAUGGUCCACCUGGGAUCUAAUCAUCACCACCUCAGUCCCUUUCUGGUUCCCUGUACUGCCCAGCCCGGCAGCAAUUGGAAGGGAGAGCUGUAGGCAGAUGUGCACAUCUGGACACAGUGGCUGUCACCCUCCAGGGCACCAGGGACUCAGUACUAGAGCCUGCAGGUGAGAGUGAUGAUGGCAGAGAUCUGAUUACAGCCCGGAAUCCUCCCCCAUGGCAGGAGAUGUGUUAUGGUGCAUCGAACACAUGCUAUUUUUUUCCUGUGAUUGGUUCUGAGCCAUUUUGGUAGCAUCCCAUUAGAUGGGAGCGGCCAUACAACAGCCUGGAUGCCACCUGCAUUCAGGGAGCUGUGUGGUGCCAGCCCAGAAACCUGCCCCACAGCAGGAGAUGUGGUAAGGUGGGUCGAACCCAUUCUCUGUAUUCCUGUGAGCGGUUCUGAGCCAUUUCGGAAGCAUUCCAUUAGAUGGGAGCAGAUGUAUGGUGGACCAGAUGCCAUCUCCUUUACAGUAGUGGCGUGGUGCCAGCUCUGAAUCCUCCCCCGUGGCUGGAGACAUAUGUUUUUAAAAGCUGAUAAAUUAUAACUUUAAGUCAUUGCUUUAUGUGUAUUGGCAUAAAUGUAUAUAUUAUGUUAUGCCUACCUGUAUACUUGUAUUUAUAUAUUGUUGAGAUGGUACCAGAUUACUUUUUUUAAAAAGUACUCAAUAUCUUAAAAACAUAAACCUAAAUACCUCUUUGAUCACAUGACUUUUAUAAAAUGUUUUUAAAAGGUCAGUAUGGUGAUGCAUUCCUGUAAUCCCAGCAUGCAGGAGGAUGAGAGAGGAAGAUUUUAAGGCCACCCUGGGCUACACAGUGAGACCCUGUCUCAAAACAAACAAAGAAAAAGAAGAGUUUUAAAAGAUAUAACAAAGGUGUCCUCAACUGCUAAUGUAAAUUUUCACUACAUUAGCUAAUCAAAUUUAUAUUUGAGGUAUUUUAACUUUAGAAAAAGUUUCAGUUGCACAAAAGUUAAAGAUACUAAUUGCUGGGUGUGGUUGCACAAGCCUGUAAUGCCAGCACUCAGGAAGCUGAGGCAGGAGCUGUGAGUUUGAGGACACCCUGGGAUACAUAAUCAGUUCAAGGCCAGCCUGAAUUACACUGUGAAACCCUGUCUCAAAAAAACAAAUUAAAGAGCAUAAAAAUAUAAUUAAAAUUUUUGAGUUUGUUAGGAUCCUAAAAACUCUUAAAAAUCAGAGUCAGUUCAACAUUGAGACAAUAUGAAUAUACCAAUAUCUGGGUAUUCUUUUAUUUUAAAUUAUUUAGCUUCUCAAACAAUGAUAUAUAACAAUAGUCAAUAUAAAGACUGCUUCUAAAUUUGUACCAGGGGUCCUGUUUUUUGAUAGACAUUAGUUUAAAAUGUUAGAGUGUUUUGGUUUUGUUUUUUUUUUUGGUACCAGGGAUCAAGCUCGGGACCUUUCGCUUGUGAGGCAGGCACCAGAACCACUGAGCUAAAUCCCCGGCCCCCUUUUUUUUUUGAGACAGGGUCUCACUAUGUAGUUCAGGCUGGCCUUGAACUCACUAUGUAGCAGAGGCUGGCCUCAAACUCAAAGCGAUCCUCCUGCCUCAGCCUCCCGAGUGCUGGGAUUACAGGUGUGCACCACCAUUCCUGGCAAAAAUGUUAGGGUUUAUAACAAAAUCUAUCCAUAUUUUCCUAGACAUUAGUUUAAAAAGUUAAAAUUUAUAGCAAGAAUGCCCUUUGAGUCCCUGAUAACAAAAUGAAAAUCAUGCUUUUUAAUAAAUAGCAUGUAAAGGCCCAGGUCUAGCUAUUUCUUACCCCUGUAGUGGUCUGCAUGCCAUGACUACAGUAGUUUCAGGACUGGCUUCUUCCAAAAUGUUCUCAAGACUGCUUUCUUAACCAAGAGUGGUUUACGGAGCCUGACAGCUUCUACUUGGUUAUUCUACUCAGCAUGAGUUAGGUAACAGACCUCUCCUAUGGUUUAUUAAAGUUAAAAAAUGGAAACACUUUUUAAAGUUUCUAUUCAUUAGACAUUAUCUAAUAAAAGUCUACUGGAAAGCCUUCUUACUAAGUCUAUAUAAAAAAAAACAGGGAAUUUUGUCUUAUACACUAAUGUGUGUCUAAAUAAGCACUGUCCAGCCAUGCUGUACUUCUUCCUAAUUUCCUGAAAGAGCUGAGUCCACAUUUACAUAGAUAUUAACUCACUCAACUCUAAAAUGAUUAUACAAAACAAAUAUUUCUCCCUACAGUUCUUGGAUCUUUCCAGAUUUUCUGAGCUAUUCCAUUUUCAAUGCCCACAAUUAAUAAAAUUCACUUAUGGGUAUCCUUGUUUCCCAAAAUAGUUUGCUUUUGGUGACAUAAAAAUGUGAUUAUAAAUAAUUCAUUGAGGUCAAUAUGAAGAUUCAAGUUCAAAAGCCCCCAAAAAACCUUCAAAAAUUUAAAUAAUAGUCUGUUAUAGUGUAUGCAAAGGGAAUUUUGAGAUAUUGACAACUUUUACAUUUUUUUCUCAACAAAAGUUUGCUUUAAGAUUAUUACUUGUGUUUGUCAAAUAUUUUAUAUUUUACAUACAAUGUAAAUGUAGUUUUUAAAAAUUAAACAGAUAAAUAAAAGCUCUAAGUUAUUUAUAAUUAAGUUAAAAUACUAAAGAUUUGUUAAAUAUAAAUUCAUAUAUUAUUUAAAAUUUAUAAAUGAUAAUAUAUUUAAAUAUUACAUAUAUUUCAUAGGUUGUUCAUAUAUGUCUGAUAUAUAUCACUAACAUAAGCUCAAAUAUCUAAAAAUAGAGUUUUAUCAAUCUACAGGUCAACUAGUGAAAAUGAGCUUAAGAAAAUAACUCUCAAAGUGAUUGAGGAUUAUAUCUGUUUAUCAUUUUAAGUUAUUUAUGUAAGCACAAUUUAUUUCAUAUUCUAAUAACAGUUUUUAAAUUCUUAAAAACUCUUUUGAUAUAGAGUUAAUAGCUAUGUUACCUCAUCUUAAUGUGUUUGUUUAUGCUGCCUAAUGCUAAUAGUUUCAAGAGAUAGUAAAUGGCUUGCUUGCUUCUCUAUAAAAACUAAAGUGCUACUAAUUUAGUGUCUAUGUAGUCUUUGUUUAAAUUAAGUAUUUAAAAUGAGUUUUUAUUUUUAAAUCUCUGUUUCUACUAAAACUCCUUUUAAGUUCAAAAGCAAUGAUUUUGGGUGUUUCCAACCUCAAAUAUGUUAUACAUGUGUGUUCUUUUUUAGAUAUCCAGUGGUUACAUCAAUAUAUGACAGUUUGAGGCACAAAUAUGAUCUAAUAACAAUUUUUAAAUACUGGUGAUCCAUUGGCAUAAUUUUAUAAUAUAAAAGUUAUGUUUCUGUUAUAAAUUGAUCAUAUAUGUUAACAGUAUAACUUUUGAAUAAAAUGUUUCUAAAGACAGUUUUUUGUAAAAAUGUUUUUUAAAAAUUGUAGUACAAAAAAACAAUGUCAAAAUCUGUUUAAAAGAAUAAAGCUUAAGAUAGAGAUCUGUUCUUAAUAAAAUUGAAAGCAAAACUAUUUUAAAAGGCUACAGAUUUGUCGAAG